AUAGCAUAUAACCGCGUUUUCUGAUGACAGUUUAAUGCAUUUUUCACAACAGACAAUUUGACUGGAACUACCGUAUUGGUAGUUGUUUUUUUGCGUCUAAGAUAUUAAGUGAUUUCUUGCCGAUGAUCCAUGGCUACCUUUGUGAAUGUCGGCACACAUCGUAUAAUUGAUUAUUCGUUCAUACCACCCACUGCUUAUUCGACCAUGAAAACUUGUGAGUUAUUCACAUCCCUAGUGCCUAUUGAGAAGGAUAAAGGAUCUUUGGUAUGAUCACUAGCCGCUUUUACAUGGACAUUUCUGAUCCGAAAUUGGAAGAACAGCUAAAUCGAAAUAGAAAAUGAUCAUAUAUACGCCUCAAUCGAAAUACAAUUCUCUGAUCGGAAUAUAAUUUUAUGCUGAAUAGAAGUGUAGUCCACUAUCAUCAACAUGUAUACACUUAUUCCGAUUAGUAUGGGGUGGGUGCGGCUUUUUUUUAACAGAGCAGCUGCAGUGGUUCGCAAUUGGUCCACUCCGUCUGUACUUUUAUGCACAACGAACUUGCCCGCUGUCAAGGGAAGUGUAUUUUUUUGCCUGAUUCACGUCUUUCUUAUCGCUCCGCAAGUAGUCUGGUAAUUUAUCAACCCGCGUGUCUGGUUGCUAAGCGACGUCAACGUCUUUGUCAGACUAUUUCUCUGCUGAUCAACACUACGAAUGGUAAUUGUAAAAAGACACAACGUGUGAAGAAUUGUUUCGUUUUGGCAAGGAGCCGUGUAAUAAGCGGGAUAAUGUAUAGAACGCGCCGGUCAUUAUCGAAAAUAAUACCCUUCAGGGCGAAGCAAGACACCUCCACUUCGCGUCGGAGUCUGGUUCGCCCUGUCGGGGCUUAUUUUCCCGAUAAUCACCGGCGUUCUGUAGGCCUACAA
This is a long non-coding RNA of Gadus macrocephalus (Pacific cod), 902 nucleotides long. RefSeq lists it as uncharacterized. The record is from RefSeq and is a predicted model, not a curated record. Lineage: Eukaryota; Metazoa; Chordata; Actinopteri; Gadiformes; Gadidae. The transcript has 2 exons.